UGAAGAGAAAAAGAAACAUUUGAAAGCUUUAAAGAUUCGGCACUUUGAAGCUCAAAUUUAGAUCAAGAAAAGAGGAAAUUGUAAUUCGAUCGGAGGAAAUCUAAAGUUGUGGAAUAGUCAUCCCGAUUCGUCCGUUUUUGUCCAAGAUUUUGGAGGUUAGUUACGAGCUCGGGGAUCUUCAGUGGAGUUUAUCACACUAUUGUUUGUUUAUCGGUACUUUAAAAAAAUUAAAUUUCGAAGUUAUGGCAUGUAUAGGCUAUACUACCUUUUGGAUUUAUGUUUGAAUGUAUGGCAUGUAUGGCAUGUAUGGCAUGUAUAGGCUAUGCGAAAAUGGCUUAUUAUUUUGAUAUGUGGAUUAUAAUGUUUAAGUUAUGAUAGUUUAGUAUUGGUAAGUAUGUGUGAAGUUUUUAA
Long non-coding RNA from Gossypium raimondii (Peruvian cotton), 411 nucleotides. RefSeq lists it as uncharacterized. The record is from RefSeq and is a predicted model, not a curated record. The transcript has 3 exons. Lineage: Eukaryota; Viridiplantae; Streptophyta; Magnoliopsida; Malvales; Malvaceae.